ACCAGAGUCACCCCCGGAUCAGAAGGCUGUCGGGGUCGUGCCGGGCUCGAGCUGCGCCAGCCGCGGGCCUCAGAAGCGCUACGCUCGUGUCGUUUUGGGCCGGUCACCGCUGCGUCAGAAGUCUGCAAGGGCCGCUGCACUUCUGAAGAGGACAGCCGUUGGGGACAGGACGGGAGUGAGGAUUUAGCUCUCGUCAGCAGACGGACGGCCGGUAGUGCCGACAACAGCCAUGGCUCGGCUCGGUACGGCGCUGGUGCCGCUGCUGGUGCUGCUGGUGCCUCUGGUGCCAGCGCUGGCCGACCGGUGCCCCGGCGGAGAGCUGGCCUGCCCGGAGCCCAGCGUCUGCUGCCGUACCGACUCUCCCCAGCAGCCCUUCAUCUGCUGUCCCUAUCGGAACGGCGUCUGCUGCGGCGACGGGCGGCACUGCUGCCGAGAAGGUUUCACGUGCGACCUGUCGACCAGCCGAUGCGUGAAGCAGCCGCCGGAGCCGGGCCUGUGUCCGGACGGCAAGAGCCGGUGUCCGGCGGGCGCCACGUGCUGUCCGCUGGCUGACCACCGCUGGGGCUGCUGUCCGUACGCGCGCGCCGUCUGCUGCUCGGACAAGGUGCACUGCUGUCCCGAGGGCACUCAGUGUGACCUGCAGACACUCACCUGUCUGAAGAAAUCGGAGCAUCCGAUGAUGCAGUUCGCUGAAACGGAUAUGAAAGGCACGGAGGGACACAUUGGUCUCCAUGCCUGAGAUCUUCAGUGAAUGAAAAGUCCGGUGCUGCUCAUCCCAAGUUUAUAAAAGUCGCCAAGUCGAGCAGGGACACUGCCUGGCAUUUGCACCCCUGUAGGUCAAUACCUACGACUGUUAAACGCAAUCGGGGACCAAGACGCGUUAACCAAGCUUUCGGGUGUCGUUAUGUGUUUUCAGUUCAGAGACCCUUCUUGGUGAAGCCAGCGCGAUAAGUCAAAGGCGGAGUUAUCUGAUUAUCGCCGUUCCCAUUGUAACCCAGAAGUGAUUUAGAUCACUGAGGGCUAUUGCGGGGGCUGGGGGCAUUGACGACCAGUGAGGGCUAGGGCCAGUAAGAAUGAACCAAUGUCUCUGUACGGAGUAUCGUUUUGGCUCUUUGUGCAUGUCUUCCAUGUUAUUGUAUCCAGGCGCAGCCGCUUUGUUUUGACUGGAAGUCCUUGCAUAUCGCUUUUACCAUGAUAUACACCAGAAAUGCGUAAUUUG
Molecule: unclassified non-coding RNA, 1219 nt
Filed under: Amphibalanus amphitrite
Lineage: Eukaryota; Metazoa; Arthropoda; Thecostraca; Balanomorpha; Balanidae
Description: progranulin-like, transcript variant X1
Source: RNAcentral